AUGUACAUUCCUACAUCAUAGCGUUUAUGCAUCGGAUCCCAUUAGAGCUUUGUAGUUAAGCGUGGUGAGGCUAGAGUAGUACUAGGAUGGGUGACUUCCUGAGAAGUCCUAGUGCUUUACAUG
Non-coding RNA from Picea glauca (white spruce), 123 nucleotides. The record is from Rfam. Lineage: Eukaryota; Viridiplantae; Streptophyta; Pinopsida; Pinales; Pinaceae.